UGGUUAAACUCUACUGCGGUGACAAUACUGUAGGGGAAGCCCUGCGGAAAAAUAGCUCGACGCCAGGAUGAUUAAAAGCUUAACG
RNAcentral lists this ribosomal RNA (85 nucleotides) under Ginkgo biloba (maidenhair tree). The record is from RNAcentral. Lineage: Eukaryota; Viridiplantae; Streptophyta; Ginkgoopsida; Ginkgoales; Ginkgoaceae.